This 73-nucleotide transfer RNA is filed under the name Erinaceus europaeus (western European hedgehog). It matches the Rfam family "tRNA". From Rfam's summary of the family: Transfer RNA (tRNA) molecules are approximately 80 nucleotides in length. Their secondary structure includes four short double-helical elements and three loops (D, anti-codon, and T loops). The record is from Rfam by way of RNAcentral. Lineage: Eukaryota; Metazoa; Chordata; Mammalia; Eulipotyphla; Erinaceidae.
AGAGAUGUGGUUCAGUGGUAGAAUGCAUGUGUUGGCAUAGAUGAAGGCCUAGGUUCAAUCCCUGGCAUUACAU